AGAGUUUGAUCCUGGCUCAGAACGAACGCUGGCGGCAGGCUUAACACAUGCAAGUCGAACGCCCGCAAGGGGAGUGGCAGACGGGUGAGUAACGCGUGGGAAUCUACCCUUUGGUACGGGAUAGCUCCGGGAAACUGGAAUUAAUACCGUAUGUGGCUUGAGAGCGAAAGAUUUAUCGCCAAAGGAUGAGCCCGCGUUGGAUUAGCUAGUUGGUGGGGUAAAGGCCUACCAAGGCGACGAUCCAUAGCUGGUCUAAGAGGAUGAUCAGCCACAUUGGGACUGAGACACGGUCCAAACUCCUACGGGAGGCAGCAGUGGGGAAUAUUGGACAAUGGGCGCAAGCCUGAUCCAGCCAUGCCGCGUGAGUGAUGAAGGUCUUAGGAUUGUAAAGCUCUUUCACCGGGGACGAUAAUGACGGUACCCGGAGAAGAAGCCCCGGCUAACUUCGUG
This 450-nucleotide ribosomal RNA is filed under the name uncultured Hyphomicrobiales bacterium. RNAcentral's name for it is "bacterial SSU rRNA". It matches the Rfam family "Bacterial small subunit ribosomal RNA", at positions 8 to 507 of the family's 1533-position model. Lineage: Bacteria; Pseudomonadati; Pseudomonadota; Alphaproteobacteria; Hyphomicrobiales. The record is from RNAcentral.